AGGAAGGAGGACUGGGCCAUAUAAGCAUUCUGGACGUUUUACGCAAUCGUCAUCUUGGGGAAGUAUGCUGUAUUUAAUUCUGCAGUUUUGGCAUAAAUACAGGAAUGAUAUUUUUGCAGUGCGCUUUCUGCCAAUUCGGUGGAAAUACAUGAUAGUGGACGAAGGCCACCGAAUGAAGAAUCACCACUGCAAGCUGACUCAGGUCUUGAACACUCACUAUGUGGCCCCCAGAAGGAUCCUCUUGACUGGGACCCCGCUGCAGAAUAAGCUCCCUGAACUCUGGGCCCUCCUCAACUUCCUCCUCCCAACAAUUUUUAAGAGCUGCAGCACAUUUGAACAAUGGUUCAAUGCUCCAUUUGCCAUGACUGGUGAAAGGGUGGACUUAAAUGAAGAAGAAACUAUAUUGAUCAUCAGGCGUCUACAUAAGGUGUUAAGACCAUUUUUACUAAGGAGACUGAAGAAAGAAGUUGAAUCCCAGCUUCCCGAAAAAGUGGAAUAUGUGAUCAAGUGUGACAUGUCGGCUCUGCAGAAGAUUCUGUAUCGCCAUAUGCAAGCCAAGGGGAUCCUUCUCACAGAUGGUUCUGAGAAAGAUAAGAAGGGGAAAGGAGGUGCUAAGACACUUAUGAACACUAUUAUGCAGUUGAGAAAAAUCUGCAACCACCCAUAUAUGUUUCAGCACAUUGAGGAAUCCUUUGCUGAACACCUAGGCUAUUCAAAUGGGGUCAUCAAUGGGGCUGAACUGUAUCGGGCCUCAGGAAAGUUUGAGCUACUUGAUCGUAUUCUGCCAAAAUUGAGAGCGACUAAUCACCGAGUGCUGCUUUUCUGCCAGAUGACAUCUCUCAUGACCAUCAUGGAGGAUUAUUUUGCUUUUCGGAACUUCCUUUACCUACGCCUUGAUGGCACCACCAAGUCUGAAGAUCGUGCUGCUUUGCUGAAGAAAUUCAAUGAACCUGGAUCCCAGUAUUUCAUUUUCUUGCUGAGCACAAGAGCUGGUGGCCUGGGCUUAAAUCUUCAGGCAGCUGAUACAGUGGUCAUCUUUGACAGCGACUGGAAUCCUCAUCAGGAUCUGCAGGCCCAAGACCGAGCUCACCGCAUCGGGCAGCAGAACGAGGUCCGGGUCCUGAGGCUCUGUACCGUGAACAGCGUGGAGGAGAAGAUCCUGGCGGCCGCGAAGUACAAGCUGAACGUGGAUCAGAAAGUGAUCCAGGCGGGCAUGUUUGACCAAAAGUCUUCAAGCCACGAGCGGAGGGCAUUCCUGCAGGCCAUCCUGGAGCAUGAAGAGGAAAAUGAGGAAGAAGAUGAAGUACCGGAUGAUGAGACUCUGAACCAAAUGAUUGCUCGACGAGAAGAAGAAUUUGACCUUUUUAUGCGGAUGGACAUGGACCGGCGGAGGGAAGAUGCCCGGAACCCGAAACGGAAGCCCCGUUUAAUGGAGGAGGAUGAGCUGCCCUCCUGGAUCAUCAAGGAUGACGCUGAAGUAGAAAGGCUCACCUGUGAAGAGGAGGAGGAGAAGAUAUUUGGGAGGGGGUCUCGCCAGCGCCGUGACGUGGACUACAGUGACGCCCUCACGGAGAAGCAGUGGCUGAGGGCCAUUGAAGACGGCAAUUUGGAGGAAAUGGAAGAGGAAGUGCGGCUCAAGAAGCGAAAAAGACGAAGAAAUGUGGACAAAGAUCCUGCAAAAGAAGAUGUGGAAAAAGCUAAGAAGAGAAGAGGCCGCCCUCCCGCCGAGAAACUGUCACCAAAUCCCCCCAAACUGACAAAGCAGAUGAACGCUAUCAUCGAUACUGUGAUAAACUACAAAGACAGUUCGGGGCGACAGCUCAGUGAAGUCUUCAUUCAGUUACCUUCAAGGAAAGAAUUACCAGAAUACUAUGAAUUAAUUAGGAAGCCAGUGGAUUUCAAAAAAAUAAAGGAAAGGAUCCGUAAUCAUAAGUACCGGAGCCUAGGCGACCUGGAGAAGGAUGUCAUGCUUCUCUGUCACAACGCUCAGACGUUCAACCUGGAGGGAUCCCAGAUCUAUGAAGACUCCAUCGUCUUACAGUCAGUGUUUAAGAGUGCCCGGCAGAAAAUUGCCAAAGAGGAAGAGAGUGAGGAUGAAAGCAAUGAAGAGGAGGAAGAGGAAGAUGAAGAAGAGUCAGAGUCCGAGGCAAAAUCAGUCAAGGUGAAAAUUAAGCUCAAUAAAAAAGAUGAGAAAGGCCGGGACAAAGGAAAAGGCAAGAAAAGGCCAAAUCGAGGAAAAGCCAAACCUGUAGUGAGCGAUUUUGACAGCGAUGAGGAGCAGGAUGAACGUGAACAGUCAGAAGGAAGUGGGACGGAUGAUGAGUGAUCAGUAUGGACCUUUUUCCUUGGUAGAACUGAAUUCCUUCCUCCCCUGUCUCAUUUCUACCCAGUGAGUUCAUUUGUCAUAUAGGCACUGGGUUGUUUCUAUAUCAUCAUCGUCUUAUAAACUAGCUUUAGGAUAGUGCCAGACAAACAUAUGAUAUCAUGGUGUAAAAAACACACACAUACACAAAUAUUUGUAACAUAUUGUGACCAAAUGGGCCUCAAAGAUUCAGAUUGAAACAAACAAAAAGCUUUUGAUGGAAAAUAUGUGGGUGGAUAGUAUAUUUCUAUGGGUGGGUCUAAUUUGGUAACGGUUUGAUUGUGCCUGGUUUUAUCACCUGUUCAGAUGAGAAGAUUUUUUUUGUCUUUUGUAGCACUGAUAACCAGGAGAAGCCAUGAAAAGUCACUGGUUAUUUUAUUUUUCAUCAGGCAAUUUUCGAGGUUUUUAUUUGUUCGGUAUUGUUUUUUUACACUGUGGUACAUAUAAGCAACUUUAAUAGGUGAUAAAUGUACAGUAGUUAGAUUUCACCUGCAUAUACAUUUUUCCAUUUUAUGCUCUAUGAUCUGAACAAAAGCUUUUUGAAUUGUAUAAGAUUUAUGUCUACUGUAAACAUUGCUUAAUUUUUUUGCUCUCGAUUUAAAAAAAAGUUUUGUUGAAAGCGCUAUUGAAUAUUGCAAUCUAUAUAGUGUAUUGGAUGGCUUCUUUUGUCACCCUGAUCUCCUGUGUUACCAAUGUGUAUCGUCUCCUUCUCCCUAAAGUGUACUUAAUCUUUGCUUUCUUUGCACAAUGUCUUUGGUUGCAAGUCAUAAGCCUGAGGCAAAUAAAAUUCCAGUAAUUUCGAAGAAUGUGGUGUUGGUGCUUUCCUAAUAAAGAAAUAAUUUAGCUUGACAAA
RNAcentral lists this small RNA (3215 nucleotides) under Pan troglodytes (chimpanzee). Its description in RNAcentral is "processed transcript". Lineage: Eukaryota; Metazoa; Chordata; Mammalia; Primates; Hominidae. The record is from RNAcentral.